UGGCUGAUAUAGCUCAGUCAGUAGAGCAUGGAACUCUUAAUCUCAGGGCUGUGGGUUCGAGCCCCAUGUCAGACAA
Molecule: non-coding RNA, 76 nt
Organism: Podarcis lilfordi (Lilford's wall lizard)
Lineage: Eukaryota; Metazoa; Chordata; Lepidosauria; Squamata; Lacertidae
Source: the annotation of a GenBank genome assembly